This 418-nucleotide long non-coding RNA is filed under the name Zea mays. RNAcentral's name for it is "long non-coding RNA (ZMAY_LNC001294)". The record is from RNAcentral. Lineage: Eukaryota; Viridiplantae; Streptophyta; Magnoliopsida; Poales; Poaceae.
AUUGGGUUUGGGACUUUAGGUGUAUGCGUGUGGUGUGUGACCGUGUGAGCUAGUUACCCGUGCACAGCUACUUGUACUCGAGCAUUGAGACGAUAAAAAAAAAGCUAUAUGAUAUUAUGAUGUACCAACUACGAAGUGAACGAAGGCACAGCAGUGUCGUCCUUGUAUACUUGUACUGUACCAACUUAAAUCAGUUUACGUGGCAGUUGCCCUUGGGCCUUGGCCACCCUGCGUUGCGUGCCAGAGGGCCCUGUUAUGAGCUUCGGCCUGUGUACCAAGAACUUGAACCUGUCUAGCUUAUGUGCUUUUGGUGCUCAUACUCGUUCUAUUGAAUAUCCAUAAACUUAUGCUUACUGCGAUAUUAAAAUCAAAUAACGAGACGUUUGGAUCCAUUUAUUUCGGAUUUAUUUUAGAGGAA